GUUGCAGGAGGGGUAACAUAAUCACCCUAUUUGUUUUAGAAGUAUUUAAAAUCAUUUAUGCUUCCGGAAAAAGAUCACACUAAGGCUGUGGAUAUCUGCGUACACAGUCACUGAGUGCAGUUAUUUAUGUUCAGUACAUGGUGAAUGCGUCAUUAUAAUUAGUCGAAAUCGCAUUAAAGGGGGCUUUUUAAAGGGGCACUGGACGCUGUCUUCACAUUCCCUUUAAGAAGUUGAAGAACAGUGCAAGCGAGCGAAACCUUGUGCCUUCUGACUUUUUGUUGUUGUUUUUAUUGUUUUUAUUUAUUUUUCUUGUUUGUUCCGUUUAUUUGCGCUAUUCUCUGACCGUAUCUUACCCGAAACUCGCGCAAUGGCUGAGACAUCGAAAGGGGUCAACGCCGGGAAAUUGGCUAGUAAUGUACAGAAAAGGAUUAUCCGAGCACAGGAGAAGAUGAUGCAGAAGCUUGGGAAGGCUGAUGAAACCAAAGAUACAGCAUUUGCGGAGGUUGUAGCUAACUUUAACAAGCAGAUGGCAGAAGGCACUAAACUGCAGAGGGAUCUCAGAGCAUACCUGGAAGCAGUUAAAACUAUGCAUGAAUGCUCGAAGCGCCUACAAUGCUGCCUAGUAGACAUGUAUGAGCCAGACUGGUUUGGGAAGGAUGAAAUUGACAUCAUCUCUGAGGACACAGAUGUUCUGUGGGGAGAUUUCCAUCAGAAGCUUAUGGACGGUGCACUCAUCUCAAUGGAUGCCUACAUGGCUCAGUUUCCUGAAAUUAAGGCACGGAUUGCUAAACGUGACAGGAAGCUGGUGGAUUUUGAUAGCGCCAGACAUCACUUUGCCACUAUACAGAAAAGUAAAAAGAAGGAUGAGGCCAAAAUUGCCAAGGCAGAGGAAGAGUUGGGAAAAGCCCAAAAGGUGUUUGAAGAGAUCAAUUAUAACCUUCAAGAGGAGCUCCCAUCUUUGUGGAACAGACGUGUUGAUUUCUAUGUGACCACCUUUGAGAGUUUAGCCAGGCUGGAGGAGAAGUUCCAUGGAGAUAUGGGCAAACUAAAUCACAAUGUGGGUGAUAUUAUGACCAGACUUGCAGAAGAGCAACAGUCUAAAAGUGCUACUAUGACAGCUACAGGGAAGAGUGAACUAGCAGCCAACCAUAAUGUCAUAGCAGAGUCUGGGUCUGACAUAACUAAACCAGCAUCUAAGUACCUGCAUGUGUAUAUUUUGGGUGGCAUGCUUGUGUGUGUGGAAGCUGAGCCUAGACCAGGGUGACUGGUCCCCCCAACCCACCAUAUCUUCAGAUGAAGCGGUCCAACAGGACAACCUAACAUGAAGAUACAAUGAUGUCUGAUUUAAAAGUUACUGACCUUUCACAGACUUUGAUAUUCUGGGAACUACCAGAAGUCCGGAGUUUUGUGAUCUUGAGGAAUGUGAUGGAAUGUAACGUGUUAGAAGGCUGGCUAGAUACGUGGGAGCUAAACCAUUUAGAGCCUUGUACGUAAGUACUGAAAGUUUGUAAUCAAUUCUAAACAUAACAGGUAGCCAGUGUAGGGAUGAUAAUAUUGGGGUUAUGUUUAUACUUUCUUGACCUGGUAAGAACUCUGGUGGCUACAUUCUGGACUAACUGUAGCUUGUUUAUUGAAGAUGCAGGACAGGGGCGCUAGAGAGUAGCUAAUGGAGUAAGACGCGUUUUCUCCCAGCUCCGUCACACUUUGUAAAAUAAAUCAUAUAAAGCUUCAUAACUCCUACUCAAUUUGUUCAGUUUGCAAAGUCAAUAUAUUAACGAUGAAUAAAUCUAAAAAGACUGUCAAAAAGACCCUGUCCCUGGCUGCCGACACGGUGAAAGACACUUCAGCUAGCCCAAUGCUAACCGAUGCUAAAGAUGACGGUCAAACUGACUUGGAUAAUGACACCACCGAGACAGAUGCUUCCUAUCCCUCGGAGGAUGAAGAUGAGGCCUCAACUAGGGCUAUUCUUAUGGCUAUUAGAAGGAUGGACUCCUUAUGAAUGCCCGAUUUAAUAAGUUGGAAGCUUCUCUGUCUGUAGUGCAGUCCACGCUAACCGCAAACACAGUCCGUAGAGUAUCGCUGACCUGGAAGAGGCUAGCACUGAUUAUGAGCGCCGCAUAUCCCGCCUAAAGCAGCUUUGCUCCGGUCUAUCACAGGAGAACAUGUCUCUGAAAGUAAAGGUAACGGAUUUAGAGGCCAGAUCUCACAGGCAGAAUAUCAAAAUAAUGGGUCUUCCUGAGAACAUUGAGAAGGGCAGCCCUACUGUAUUUGUUUCCGAGCUUCUUCCUUCGCUACUAGGAGAAUGUAAUUUCCCGCGUGGCGUAAUGGUUGACCGGGCUCACCUCACUGGCGUCAUCGGAAACAACAGGAGUUAUGAUCGCCAGGAUACAUCACGACUCUGUUAAGACUGAAAUACUGCACCUCUCCCGUAACCGGAGCCCGCUGUCGUUUGACGGUAGCUGUAUCAGCAUCUUCCCGGACUUUCCUGCGGAGGUGUUCAUCCAACACAAGCAGUUUGACAGCGUGCGGGAGAAUCUAAGAGCCAAUGGAAUAAAAUAUGGACUCCUGUACCCUGCUCGUCUCAUCCUCACGCAUGAGAAGAUGAAGAAAAUAUUCUCGUCCCCUCAGGAGGCUGAAUCCUACAUUGACAGUCUCUCCUCCUGAUGGAAGGUGAACCCACUGUGCUAAAUAAGACAUAUACUCAUGUAGGUAUGCAUGUGGGUCUGUAUAAUGUAUAAUGUGUGUGGGGAUGUUAGUGCUUUCAUUCAUAUACAAAGUAUUCCUGAUCAUAAUGUGUGGAGACGGAGCGGUGUGGUGUUCCGAAGAACCGUUAAUCCGUCACCGGUUGAUUUUUGGCUUCUUCCAAGUUAAUUUAUUUAUUUAAUUUUUCUUUUUUUCUUCUCUUUCCUUGUGUUCUGUUUGGCAUUCCACGUUUAAAUGGGGUGCUCUGAUUUUCGUUCGAGGGGGGAGGUUAUUGGGGUAGUAUCGUGCCAGCUUAUUUCUGUAUUAGAUAUGUUUGUGUUUUUCUCUGUUUUGUUUUCUCAGCAAUACUUAUACUCAAAUAGUCGCCCAGUGUACCCUAUGAUUUAUCUCUCACUGCACUUUAAUGAGCCCCCCUAAGAAACAUUUGAAUAUCUUGAGCUGGAAUGUGCGUGGUUUAAACAAUAUUGUUAAAAGUCUUUGCACAUCUAAAUUCUUUACAUGCAGAUAUAUUAUUUCUGCAGGAGACUCACAUUAAGCAUUCCAGUGCUCAUAGACUUAAAUGCAGAUGGAUGGGUCAAAUGUACCACUCUGCUUUCUCUUCAAAGGCCCGUGGGGUGUCUAUACUAAUACAUAAGAAUACUCCCUUUCAGCAUUUGAACACUAAACAACAUAUUAAUGGCCGCUAUCUUAUUGUGACUGGUACUAUCUUAGAGAAACAUGUCACUUUUGUGAAUCUAUAUGCGCCAAAUUUUGACAACCCAAAUUUUUUUCGAUCAGACUUUAAUCUCAUACCCGAUAUAGACUCUACACAUCUUAUCUUUAAUUGUAUUUUGGACCCUUUUAUAUACAGGCUCUCACCCAGCCUUCCUAAACUCUCUAACUCAACUGUUGUUCUUAAUAAUCUCAUUCACUCACUGAACGUACUUGAUAUUUGGAGACUCCAGCACCCUACUGACAAAGACUACUCUUUUUUCUCUAACAUUCAUAACUCAUAUACAAGGAUUGACUUUUUUCUAACUGCUUCCAAAUUAACCCCUAAGAUUUUAUCCUUCAAAUAUCAUAAUAUUUUAAUAUCUGAUCACUCCCCAGUUUCUAUAUCAAUAGAUUUUGGACUGGAAAGACCUCUUUCAGUUGGCGUUUUAACCCCACGCUAUUAAAUGAGGGCACUUAAAAAAAAAAAAAAAAAAAAACUGUGCCGCUCAUAUAGCUGAAUUCCUUUCUUUAAAUGAAAAGGGGGAUGUGUCUGACUCAACCCUGUGGGAAGCUCUCAAGGCUGUCAUUAGAGGUCAGGUGAUAGCCUACCAAGCAGAGCAGAAAAAGCAGAGGGGCAAAAGGCUUUCUCAGAUAGAGGUGGAGCUGUCAGCCCUAGAGCAGCAGUUUAAACUCUCAUCAUCCAACUCAACUCUGACUAGUAUUAUGAAAUUGAAAUAUGAAUAUAAUACCAUUUUAUCUACUCAAAUUAGCUCCCUUUUACUAAAGAUUAAGUAAAAACAAUUUGAAUUGGGAGACAAACCUCAUCACCUGCUGGCUCAUCAGCUCAGGGGCGCACAAGCGAGUAGGGCUAUAUGUGCCAUCAAGUCAAAAUCCGGUGUCUUGACCACUAAACCAGCAGAAAUAAAUAACAUAUUUCGGGAAUUCUAUCAGGAACUGUACUCCUCUCAAAGUGUUGGAGACUUGCUGAAUAUCACUAAAUUCCUUCACUCUCUUCAGCUUCCCAGAAUUAGUGAGGAUAAGAGAGAAAGUUUAAACUCAAACAUUACACUGGAAGAAAUUCUGAAGGCUAUUAAGAACUUUCCCAAUGGUAAAGCGGCGGGCCCGGAUGGCUUUUGCAUUGAAUUUUAUAAGGCUUUCUCCGAUCAAAUUGCCCCCUUGAUGCUAAGGAUGUUCAAAGACUCUGUUGAAAAUAAAAAAUUACCAAAGACACUUUACUCGGCGAAUAUCACAUUGAUCCUAAAGAAAGAUAAAGAUAAUACAGAUCCUUCCUCUUACAGACCCAUUUCCCUUCUUGGUAGUGAUAUUAAGAUAUUUACUAAGAUCCUUGCAAAUUGGCUAAGUAAAUGUAUUGGUUCAAUAAUACACGAAGACCAAACUGGUUUUAUUCCCGGGGGAUUUUCUUUUCACAACGUACGCAGACUUAUGAAUGUUGGGUAUAGAAGCAAAGGCAAAUAUGAUAAAAUAGCCAUUCUAGCCCUGGAUGCCCAUAAAGCAUAUUGACAGGGUGGAAUGGACUUAUAUCUUAAGCACUAUACAGGAAUUCGGUUUGGGACAAAAUUUUUCUUCGUGGAUUAAGAUGCUGUACCUCUGCCACUCUGCCUCAGUUCUCACAAACAAUAAUAGGUCCCCUCCCUUUCUUCUUCAUCGUGGUACCUGCCAGGGCUGUCCACUAAGUCGUUUACUUUUUGCCAUUGCUAUGGAACCUCUAGCAAUAAAUAUAAAAAACCACUUGCAUAUACCCCCUAUUAUAAUGGGAGGUGUAGAACAUCAGAUUUCUUUAUAUGCGGAUGAUGUCCUCCUUUUUCUCUCUGAGCCAGAAAGAUCCUUGCCUUUUUUGUUUGAUCUUAUUAAAGAGUUUGGUGCCCUCUCUGGUUAUACAGUUAACUGGCAGAAAAGUGAAUUUAUGCCAUUAUUUGGUAAUAUAGAUUUAGGUUUUAUUAAUAGUCUCCCUUUCAAAACUGUAAGUGAAUUAAAAUAUCUUGGUAUCACUGUUCCUAGACACUAUGGAAGCUUAUAUGAAACAAACUACAAAGUCAUGAUAGAUAAACUGAAGAAUAAUAUUGAGACUUGGCGUGUACUCCCUUUAACAAUGAUUGGCCAUGUCAACACAAUCAAAAUGGUUACUUUACCUAGAUUUCUUUACUUGUUCCAAAAUGUUCCUAUCUUCUUAACCCAGUCAUUCUUUAAAACACUUGAUUCCUUAUUCACGCCAUUUAUCUGGGGAUAUAGAGCUCAUCGUACUGUAUAACUAAAGCACACAUAUGUAAAGCAAAAGAGGUAGGAGGGUAAAUCAACGCCACCUUACCAGCUUGGUUGGCUAUUGAGUGGAAAAUGCAGGAAUCCUCCCUCCCUGCCUUACUUUUCGCAGAAAAUAAACCUAUCAGAACAUUUAAGAAUUGUAAUCCUAUUGUUGUAAAUUCUCUUAAGAUUUGGUACCAGCUCAGGAAAUUUUUUAAACUCCCUCAAACUUGCUCACUUACCCCUAUAGCCUACAACCAUGCAUUCCCUCACAAUUGGAUAGGACUUUUUUGUCAUGGAGAGAAAAAGGAAUUCUGUCUAUAGGAGAUUUAUAUAUAGACAAUGUAUUUGCUUCUUUUGCGCAGCUAAGACAAAAAUUUGGGCUACCCCCCUUUCUUUUUUUUCAGAUACGUACAAGUAUGGAAUUAUGUUAAAAGCAAUAUCUCUAACUUUGAAACCUACAAGUCCCCUGAACAUCUUUAUCUUCUUAUAACCUCUGAACUCGACUCAAAGGGUCUUGUUUCCAAGUGUCAAAUAUCUUAAUGAAUCUAGAACUCCUUCUACACAACACUUAAAGAUGUCCUGGGAAAAGGACUUGGGGAUAGAUAUUCCAGAAGACAACUGGAUUAAGGCUCUCCAGGGUAUCAAGUCGUGUUCCAUCAACUCUAACUUGCAGCUGAUUCAGUAUAAAGUCAUCCAUAGAUUACACUAUUCUCGUGCCAAAUUACAUACCAUAUAUCCCUCUGUGCCUUCCAUGUGUCUCAAAUGCAAAUCCAAUGAGGGUACAUUGGCCCAUUCAUUUUGGCUCUACCCAAAAAUGUGUCAAUUUUGGACUGAGGUUUUCUCUUUCUACUCAAAGGUACUUAAGAUUGAUUUUCAUCAUUCCUUCAUGAUGCAAAAACUCAUUUUUUGUGCGUGUGUGUUUUUUUUUUGUUUGUUUGUUUGUUUUCUGCUUCUGUUUUUCAUUUUCCUUUUUUUUCCUUUUUUUUAUUUGCUGGCAUGGAGAACGGGGAUUGUUCUUUAAAAUGUGAAAAUUCAAAAUAAAAUAUUCAAAAAAACAAAAAAGAAGAUGCAGGACAACCACCUAGUAAUGCAUUACAAAAGACCAGUCUGGAGGUCAUGAAUGCAUGAACUAGCUUUUCUGCAUCAGAUACAGAUAAAAUUUGCUAAGCUUGGCAAUAUUUCUAAGGUGGAAGAAGGCUGACAAGUUGCUGUCUAAUAUUACACCUAAACACACACUAAAAUUACGGUCUUUCACUGACAAGCUAGUAGUAAUAGUACAUACUUCUAAAUGCAAGUUGAAUUGUGAGAGCUUUUGUGUAUUGGUUUUUGGGCCAAUAAGUAAUAUCUCUGUCUUAUCAGGAUUUAGUAAUAGAAAAUUAUGGGUCAUCCAAUCUUUUAUAUCUUUAACUCACAGUUAAUCUGGACAAUUUAGAUAUUUCAUCUGGUUUUGAUUUAUAUGAUUUUGAUAUAAUUUUUCAUUUGGUUUUGAGAUAUAUAACUGGGUAUCGCCAACAUAACAAUGGAAACUAAUUCCAUCAUUAGUCUUCUAAUGAUGUUACCCAAGGGAAGCAUGUAUAUUGAGAACAGCAGAGGUUCUAAAAAUGAUCCUUGUGGAAUUUCACUGGCAUUACACUAGACAGUACUCUAUUUAAAUCUACAAAAUGGUAUCAAUCAGACAGGUAGGAUCUAAACCAUUUUAAUGCCUGUCCCUGAAUACCUAUGUGAUUUUGUAAGCGAUCUACGAGAAUGUUAUGAUCUAUAGUGUUGAAUGCAGCACUAAGAUCAAGUAAGACUAAUAUUGAGAUGCUGCCUUGGUCCGAAGCUAAAAACAAAUCAUUUGUAAUUUUAACUAGUGCAGUUUCUGUUCUAUGAUGGGGCCUGAAACCUGACUGAAAUUCUUCAAGGAUAUUGUUUUCCUGUAAGAAGGAGUAUAAUUGAGCAGACACCACCUUUUCUAAUAUUUUAGAUAUAAACAGAAGGUUUGAAAUCGGUCUGUAAUUUGAUAAUUCAUUAGGGUCUAGUUUAGGUUUCUUAAGAAAAGGCUUAAUAACUGCCAACUUGAGAGGUUUAGGGACAUGACCUAAAUAUAGCGAGGAAUUAAUAAUGUUGAGAAGAGGCUCUCCAGCUGUAUGUAUCACUUCUUUCAGCAAUCUAGUUGGAAUUGGAUCUAACACACACGUUGUUGAUUUAGCUGUGGUGAUAAAUUAAUACAGCUCUUCCUGUCCUAUACCUGUAAAGCACUGUAGCUCUAAAUGUGGAGCUUUAGGCUGGACUGGAUCAUAGGAUGCAGUCAAAUGUUGAACAUCCAUUAUUUUGUUCCUGAUACUAUCAAUUUUGUCAGUGAAGAAAUUCAUAAUGUCCUCACUACUAAACUGUGAUGGAGUACUUUCUCCAGAUAUCUGAUGUUUUGUUAGUCUGGCCACUGUACUAAAGAAUCUGUUUUGUUUUGGUUUAUUGCUAUCAGUUUGCUCAGAGGCUCGGCCCUAGCAGCUAUUAGAGCCUGUCUAUAGCUGGACAUACUUUAUACUUUAUACACUCGAGGAUACGGGUUGCUUUCUUGAGGGCGUGAGUAUGACUAUUAUACCAUGGUGCAGGUGUUUUAUCUCUUACCUCUUUUAAUCGGAUGGGGGCAACAGUGUCUAGUGUGCUGGUGAAAAUAGUGCCUAUGCUGUUAGUCAUUUCAUGUAGAUCAUCUGCAUUUAGGGGUUUAUUAAGAAGUUGAGAGAUCCGGCAGAUUACUGUUCACCUACUCUGAAGGCAGAGAUUCUGGUCUUUAGCAGCACACACCUUUGCAGUCAUCCACGGUUUCUGAUUGGAGCGUUUGGUGAAGGACUUUGAGACAGUAACAUCAUCACUGCACUUGCCAAUGUGGCUGGUCACUGAUUCCUCCAAGUUGGUUGAGUCACCAUCAGUUUCAGUUUUUGAGUCACCAUCAGUUUGAGUCACCAUCAGUUUUAAAAUGUGCCAGUCAUCGUGGUCAAAACAGUCCUGGUGAGGAGAGAUGGCUCCUGCUGGCCAGGAUUUCACCUGAUUCAGAACCUUUCUGAUGAGUUUCUGAUGACUGGUCUGUGUGUUGGAAUUACAUUGACAUUGAUGUGGUCUGUCUAGGUGAAUGGUGGCAUCCAGUGUUUGUUGCUGAGCCACGUCUUUGCUUGCUGCGCUUCCACUUUCUUGUGCUUCUUUUUUGAUGCCCCCUCUCCCAGACACCACCAUCAAGGCAAUGCAUAGGACUGGAGGCCUAGUCCUCGAAGCAAGCAGAGAUCACAUAGCUUCUCCAGCAGAACAUCAUGCAGGUUUACUGUUGCAUAAUUUCUGUGCUGUAUUAGAGUCUGGUGAACAUAGACACAGGUCUACGACUCCAAUGUCCAUGUGCUGUAAGAAAUUAGGCUAAAGGCAAGAAGCAACAUUUUGGAUCCAUCUCUACUGUUCUCCAGUGGCUUUGUUGGUCCAGUGGUUGUGUGCGUUACACCACUGCAUCUGAUGCUUUGCACUGCACUUGGUGAAGUAAGGUUUUGAUGCAGCUGCUCGGCCAUGAAAACCCAUUCCAUGAAGUUCUUCCACUGUUCCUAAGCUAAUCUGAAGGCCACACAAAGUUUGGAGGUCUGCAGCUAUUGACUCUGCAGAAAGUUGUUGACUUCUGCGCACUUUGCACCUCAGCAUGCGCUGACCCUGAUCUGUGAUUUUUCGUGGCCUACCACUUUGUGACUGAGUUUCUGUUGCUCUCAAUUGCUUCCACUAACAGUUUACCAUGGAAUAUUUAGUAGUGAGGAAAUUUCACGAAUGGACUUACAGGUGGCAACCUAUCAUGGUACCAUGCUUGAAUUCACUGAGAGUGACCCAUUCUUUCACAAAUGUUUGUAGAAGCAGUCUACAUGUCUACGUGCUAGAUUUUAUACACCUGUGGCCAUGGAAGUGAUUGGAACACCUGAAUUCAAUGAUUUUGAGGGGUGUCCCAAAACUUUUGCCAAUAUAGUGAAUGUUCCCCACAUGCUUUUGUUUAAUUGCCUCUGGUUGUUAGGAGGGGUGAAACAGAACAAUACCUAAGCUCUUUUUCCCUGAUGUUUGAAAUGACUGAAGAUAGAAGGCUAAAUAUGAUAAUGUGAAACCUUGUCAUGUGCCUUUCUAGUCUUGUGACUAAUCUCUGGCUUGUUUGUUACAAGUAAAAUUUAAUUUAGUUGAAAAAUACACAAAUGUAUUUGUGCUGGCUAAUGGCCAUAGACAGAGCCACAGACAGAGCCACCUCACUGAAUAAAGUAAGAGUAUUGAGCUGCUGUUUAAAAUUCAUUAGACAGAUGGGCCACUGACUAUAUAGUGAAUUGUAUAUCUACAAAUAGUUAAUGCAUGAAAACAAACUCAAUUCUAAAUACACACUGCAUUGGCAUUCUUACAGUGCAGCUAGAUGAAACUGAGCUGCAUGCAUGCAGUAGGACAAAGCAAUGAAGGACAGACUUUGACAGCAUAUAUAAGCUAUAUUCAGUUCUCUCAACUAUAACCUGAAAGCAAUCUAAUGUAAGACUAUACAUCUGGGCAGGAAAAUAUAUUGCUUACUGUUGCUAUGCAUAGUUUUAACUCUUUAAGGUUGAAUCUGUAAACUGCCUUUGUUAUAAACAUUCUGUUAAACAAAGCAAUUCUCACAUAGCAUAAUGUGAAUCCCCCCCUUUUCACUGACCUCUCUUUUCUUUGCAUGCAAUCCCUUAUUAUCUAUUCAGAAACACUCAGUGAUCUCCAUUUUGCUGAAGAAAAAUAAGUCAGGAGUCUCUUUUUCCUGUUAGCAUUAGUGAGCUUUCCCUAAGUUGCAGUUCUUAGUUUCUUAGAUAUAUGGGAGUGGGGAUUUUUCCCUAAUUUAGUCUUGGACAAUUUACACCCAUCAGCCAGCUUUCCCCUGUCAGAUGAUAACUGCCUACCAGGGAAGGCAAAGGCUAUCACAUUCUUCCUCCAAGUCAUGUAAAGCCAGCUCACUACAUCAUUUUAUACUGCUGCUCAUGCUCUCAACCUCCCUUGAAUGGCUACUUUCACUGUCAUUGAUAUGGCAGAAAUAUUCAUCUGAAAUAUCCAGAAAAUAAGCUAAUUUUUCAUUCACAGACACAUGCAGACACAUUGGUAACCAACGGCAGGUCUAAUAUUGAUCUUCCACCAGGAAUUCUGUAUAAGGUGAAAGUGAUACAUGACUAUGCAGCCACAGACAAUGAUGAGCUGGACCUCAAAUCUGGGGACAUUGUGCUUGUAAUGCC
This is an RNA transcript of Hemibagrus wyckioides, 10889 nucleotides long. It is a transcript of the gene named bridging integrator 1b, with no coding region annotated. The record is from RefSeq and is a predicted model, not a curated record. Lineage: Eukaryota; Metazoa; Chordata; Actinopteri; Siluriformes; Bagridae. The transcript has 14 exons.